This 73-nucleotide small nucleolar RNA is filed under the name Calidris pugnax (ruff). Lineage: Eukaryota; Metazoa; Chordata; Aves; Charadriiformes; Scolopacidae. The record is from RNAcentral.
GGUGCAGGUGAUGAUUUCAUGCGACCAAAGCCUGAAAGUUCGUGAUUAGAAUUUUUAUGGCAACUGAUGCACC